This 71-nucleotide microRNA precursor is filed under the name Paramuricea clavata. Lineage: Eukaryota; Metazoa; Cnidaria; Anthozoa; Malacalcyonacea; Plexauridae. The record is from RNAcentral.
AUUGUAUUACGAGCGGAAAUUGUUACCAUUUUCGGCUCAAAAAUGGUAACAAUUUCCGCACGUAAUACAAA